This 118-nucleotide ribosomal RNA is filed under the name Clostridia bacterium. Its description in RNAcentral is "partial 16S ribosomal RNA". It matches the Rfam family "Bacterial small subunit ribosomal RNA", at positions 825 to 942 of the family's 1533-position model. The record is from RNAcentral. Lineage: Bacteria; Bacillati; Bacillota; Clostridia.
CCCAUAUAGGUCCAGUGGCUGCCGGAGCUAACGCGUUAAAUCGACCGCCUGGGGAGUACGGCCGCAAGGUUAAAACUCAAAUGAAUUGACGGGGGCCCGCACAAGCGGUGGAGCAUGU